RNAcentral lists this ribosomal RNA (272 nucleotides) under uncultured bacterium. RNAcentral's name for it is "partial 16S ribosomal RNA". It matches the Rfam family "Bacterial small subunit ribosomal RNA", at positions 84 to 354 of the family's 1533-position model. The record is from RNAcentral.
CCCGCCGGCGACCGGCGCACGGGUGAGUAACACGUAUGCAACCUGGCCGCCACAGGGGGAUAACCCGCGGAAACGCAGCCUAAUACCCCGUGACGCCACCGGAGGGCAUCCUCCGGUGGCCAAAGGAGCGAUCCGGUGGCGGAUGGGCAUGCGGCGCAUUAGCUAGACGGCGGGGUGACGGCCCACCGUGGCGACGAUGCGUAGGGGUUCUGAGAGGAAGGCCCCCCACACUGGGACUGAGACACGGCCCAGACUCCUACGGAAGGCAGCAG